This 1699-nucleotide long non-coding RNA is filed under the name Salmo salar (Atlantic salmon). RNAcentral's name for it is "lncRNA (ENSSSAG00000116110.1)". The record is from RNAcentral. Lineage: Eukaryota; Metazoa; Chordata; Actinopteri; Salmoniformes; Salmonidae.
GUAAAGUUUUCCUGUUCUGUUGGCAGAUAAUUUUGCUUAUUUUAAGUAAUAUUUCCCUAAUUGUAUUGCUUUUUUCCCUUGUUUUUGAGAGCUGACUUUUUGCAGUGUAUUAUUUGACCCUGCUGGUCAUCUAUGAACAUUUGAACAUCUUGGCCAUGUUCUGUUAUAGUCUCCACCCGGCACAGCCAGAAGAGGACUGGCCUCCCCUCAUAGCCUGGUUCCUCUCUAGGUUUCUUCCUAGGUUCUGGCCUUUCUAGGGAGUUUUUCCUAGCCACCGGGCUUCUGCAUUGCUUGCUGUUUGGGGUUUUAGGCUGGGUUUCAGUACAGCACUUUGUGACAUCAGCUGAUGUAAGAAGGGCUUUAUAAAUACAUUUGAUUGAUGUCUACUUCUGAUAAACUGCUUAGUAAAACAAUCAAGCAUCCCAGAAAAGUGCCAAAAAAUUGCCCACAUUAACAUGUUGCCUAAGAAUCAAGGUUCAUGAAAUCGUUAAUAACCGAUGACAUUCAUAUACUGACUAUCUCUGAAACUGACUUAGAUAAUACCUUUGAUAUAGCGGUAGCAAUACAUGGUUAUAACAUCUACAGCAAUGCUAACGGGAUUGGUGUUGCAGUCUGUAUUCAGAACAACAUUCCAGUAAAGCUUAGAGAGGAUCUCAUGCCAAAUACUGUUGAAGUAUUUGUAUCUGUUAAAUCCCUGUGGAUUGAUGAGGAAUUUAACAUUUUUAUGGUUGAGAGGGAUGGGGCAAAAGGAAUGGAAAAUAAGUCUGGCUGCAUAACCAAUUGGAAAACCUACUGCAAAUUGAGAAAUAAUGUGGCUAAACAGAACAAAAAGAAGAAGAAACUAUACUAUGAAACAAGAAUAAAUUAUAUCCAGAAUUAUAGUAAAAAGCUUUGGAGCACCUUAAAUUAAAUUUUAGGCAAAAAAGCAAACUCCGCUCCUAUCAGGUGUCAAGGUAAGACGCAAGUGCAGACUGUGUGAAGUAACAAUGUUAAUUGUAACAGGGGCAGGCAAACGACAGGUCAAGGCAGGCAGGGGUCGAUAAUCCAGAGUAGGAGCAAAUGUACAGGACGGCAGGCAGGCUCAGGGACAGGCAGAGUGGUCAGGCGGGCAGGUACAGGGGCAGGACAGGCAAGGGUCAAAAACCAGGAGGAUGAGAAAAAGGCUGGGAGAAGACAGGACAAACUGUGGUAAAUUUAACAAACAAGACGAACUGGCACAGACAGAAAACACAGGUAUAAAUACCCAGAGGAUAAGUGGGGAAGAUGGGCAACACCUGGAGGGGGUGGAGACAAGCACAAGGACAGCUGAAACAGAUCAGGGCGUGACAGCUCCAAGCGAACCUCCUCCCAGCUGCCCACUGCACUGAGGCUAGGAAACACUGUCACCACCGAUAAAUCCACUAUAAUUGAGAAUUUCAAUAAGACUUUUUCUACGGCAGGUCAUGCUUUCCACCUGGCUACCCCUACCCCAAUCAACAGCCCUCCACCCCCCCACAGCAACUCGCCCAAGCCUCCCCCAUUUCUCCUUCACCCAAAUCCAGAUAGCUGAUGUUCUGAAAGAGCUGCAAAAUCUGGACCCCUACAAAUCAGCUGGGCUAGACAAUCUGGACCCUCUCUUUCUAAAAUGAUCUGCCGAUAUUGUUGCAACCCCUAUUACUAGCCUGUUCAACCUCUCUUUUGUAUCGUCUGAGAUUCCCAU